CCGUUAUGAUAAGAUCCUAUUAUCUUACAACGGAAUAGAAUUUAUUAAGACCAAAGAAGCAGUGAAAAUGUUGAAAGAAUUGACUAUUAUUUCCUUUGUUUUAGUAUCAGUGCAUGCGAAGACGAUGUGUAGACUCGAUUCUGAAUGUGCAUCAGGCGAAUGUUGUUAUUAUCAUGAAGGACCUAUGAUUGUCAGCAAGUGAGAUGUCUUGCCAUUCAAUGCCAUGCAUCAAGGUGGUUGGUGUGAAAAAUAUCUCCUCAAUGGAGCUCGGUGUAAUCCAUUUAACAAAGUGAACAGACACUGUAGUUGUGGAAAUGGUCUGAAAUGUACACGUUUUCCAUACACAUCUACACCCUCAGUCGGUAAAAGGGGACUUCUUCCCGGAGACUACCUCUGUGCUCCAACUCUUUAAACAGAAAUAAAAAAGAGACUAUAAUU
This is a long non-coding RNA of Mytilus trossulus (common blue mussel), 438 nucleotides long. RefSeq lists it as uncharacterized. The record is from RefSeq and is a predicted model, not a curated record. Lineage: Eukaryota; Metazoa; Mollusca; Bivalvia; Mytilida; Mytilidae. The transcript has 3 exons.